RNAcentral lists this ribosomal RNA (324 nucleotides) under uncultured eukaryote. RNAcentral's name for it is "partial 18S ribosomal RNA". It matches the Rfam family "Eukaryotic small subunit ribosomal RNA", at positions 1470 to 1796 of the family's 1831-position model. The record is from RNAcentral.
CCCCUAGAUGUUCUGGGCCGCACGCGCGCUACACUGAACAGUUCAACAAGUCUUAACCUUGGCCGAUAGGUCUGGGUAAUCUUUGAACGCUGUUCGUGAUUGGGAUAGACCUUUGCAAUUAUGGGUCUUCAACGAGGAAUUCCUAGUAAACGCAAGUCAUCAGCUUGCAUUGAUUACGUCCCUGCCCUUUGUACACACCGCCCGUCGCACCUACCGAUUGAGUGAUCCGGUGAAUAAUUCGGACUGCAGCACUGCUUGGUCUCCAGGCUUUGCAGCGGAAAGUUUAGUGAACCUUAUCACUUAGAGGAAGGAGAANUCGUAACA